This 654-nucleotide ribosomal RNA is filed under the name uncultured archaeon. RNAcentral's name for it is "bacterial SSU rRNA". It matches the Rfam family "Archaeal small subunit ribosomal RNA", at positions 508 to 1160 of the family's 1478-position model. The record is from RNAcentral.
GCCUAAAGCGUCCGUAGCCUGUUUUGUAAGUUUUCGGUUAAAUCCAUACGCUCAACGUAUGGGCUGCCGGAAAUACUGCAAAACUAGGGAGUGGGAGAGGUAGACGGUACUCGGGAGGAAGGGGUAAAAUCCUUUGAUCUCUCGAUGACCACCUGUGGCGAAGGCGGUCUACCAGAACACGUCCGACGGUGAGGGAUGAAAGCUGGGGGAGCAAACCGGAUUAGAUACCCGGGUAGUCCCAGCUGUAAACUAUGCAAACUCAGUGAUGCAUUGGCUUGAUGCCAAUGCAGUGUUGCAGGGAAGCCGUUAAGUUUGCCGCCUGGGAAGUACGUACGCAAGUAUGAAACUUAAAGGAAUUGGCGGGGGAGCACCACAAGGGGUGAAGCCUGCGGUUCAAUUGGAGUCAACGCCAGAAAUCUUACCCGGAGAGACAGCAGAAUGAAGGUCAAGCUGAAGACUUUACCAGACAAGCUGAGAGGUGGUGCAUGGCCGUCGCCAGCUCGUGCCGUGAGAUGUCCUGUUAAGUCAGGUAACGAGCGAGAUCCUUGCCUCUAGUUGCCACCAUUACUCUCAGGAGUAGUGGGGCGAAUUAGCGGGACCGCCGUAGUUAAUACGGAGGAAGGAAGGGGCCACGGCAGGUCAGUAUGCCCCGAA